UUUCCGUAGGUGAACCUGCGGAAGGAUCAUUAAAGUUAUAGUCCCCCGGCCCCUCCGGGCUGGGGUCUUCUAUACCACCCUUUGUUUAUUACACCUUUGUCGCUUUGGCAGGCCUGCCCUCGGGCUGCUGGCUCCGGCCGGCUCGUGCCUGCCAGAGGACCUAAACUCUGUUUGUAUAUGAAGUCUGAGUACUAUAUAAUAGUUAAAACUUUCAACAACGGAUCUCUUGGUUCUG
Molecule: unclassified non-coding RNA, 235 nt
Filed under: plant metagenome
Description: partial contains small subunit ribosomal RNA, internal transcribed spacer 1, and 5.8S ribosomal RNA
Source: RNAcentral